Myotis lucifugus (little brown bat) is the source of this 126-nucleotide non-coding RNA. NCBI's taxonomy places the organism in Eukaryota, Metazoa, Chordata, Mammalia, Chiroptera, Vespertilionidae. The record is from Rfam.
CAUGCACCAGUGGGGUCCCUCGGCCUGGCCUGUGCCCUCUCAUAAUCCAGAAUCCCUCAGGAGAUGUCAGAGAGCUAGUUUCAGCCUGAUCCCGCAGGCCAGGCUGAGGGACCCCACUGGUGCAUG